RNAcentral lists this ribosomal RNA (478 nucleotides) under uncultured bacterium. RNAcentral's name for it is "partial 16S ribosomal RNA". It matches the Rfam family "Bacterial small subunit ribosomal RNA", at positions 28 to 523 of the family's 1533-position model. The record is from RNAcentral.
GACGAACGCUGGCGGCGUGCUUAACACAUGCAAGUCGAACGGUAAGGCCCUUCGGGGUACACGAGUGGCGAACGGGUGAGUAACACGUGGGUGAUCUGCCCUGCACUUCGGGAUAAGCCUGGGAAACUGGGUCUAAUACCGGAUAGGACUCCUGGCUUCAUGGUUGGGGGUGGAAAGCUUUUGCGGCGUGGGAUGGGCCCGCGGCCUAUCAGCUUGUUGGUGGGGUAAUGGCCUACCAAGGCGACGACGGGUAGCCGGCCUGAGAGGGUGAUCGGUCACACUGGGACUGAGAUACGGCCCAGACUCCGACGGGAGGCAGCAGUGGGGAAUAUUGCACAAUGGGCGCAAGCCUGAUGCAGCAACGCCGCGUGAGGGAUGACGGCCUUCGGGUUGUAAACAUCUUUCAGCUAUGACGAAGCGCAAGUGACGGUAGUAGCAGAAGAAGGACCGGCCAACUACGUGCCAGCCGCCGCCGUAA